UAGGGAAUAUUGCGCAAUGGACGAAAGUCUGACGCAGCCACGCCGCGUGAGUGAGGAAGGCCUUCGGGUUGUAAAGCUCUGUCAUUCGGGAAAAACAGCCAGUCGGGGAAAGUUCGAUUGGUUUGAUGGUACCGAAGGAGGAAGCACCGGCAAACUCUGUGCCAGCAGCCGCGGUAAUACAGAGGGUGCAAGCGUUGUUCGGAAUUACUGGGCGUAAAGCGUGCGUAGUCGGUAUUGAGAGUCACGGGUGAAAUCCCCACGCUUAACGUGGGAACUGCCUGUGAGACCUCAGUACUAGAGUGUGAGAGGGGAUAGUGGAAUACCAAGUGUAGCGGUGAAAUGCGUAGAGAUUUGGUGGAACACCGGUGGCGAAGGCGGCUAUCUGGCUCACAACUGACGAUCAGGCACGAAAGCGUGGGGAGCAAACAGGAUUAGAUACCCCCGUAGUCC
Molecule: ribosomal RNA, 450 nt
Filed under: uncultured prokaryote
Description: bacterial SSU rRNA
Rfam family: Bacterial small subunit ribosomal RNA
Source: RNAcentral